This 19-nucleotide non-coding RNA is filed under the name Arabidopsis thaliana (thale cress). The record is from RNAcentral. Lineage: Eukaryota; Viridiplantae; Streptophyta; Magnoliopsida; Brassicales; Brassicaceae.
UAAAUUAGGUGGAUCGUUA